UAACCGUGGUAAUUCUAGAGCUAAUACAUGCUAAAAACCCUGACUUCGGAAGGGGUGUGUUUAUUAGAUAAAAAACCAAUGCCCUUCGGGGCUCUUUGGUGAUUCAUGAUAACCUAACGGAUCGCAUGGCCUUGCGCCGGCGACGGUUCAUUCAAAUUUCUGCCCUAUCAACUUUCGAUGGUAAGGUAUUGGCUUACCAUGGUUUCAACGGGUAACGGGGAAUUAGGGUUCGAUUCCGGAGAGGGAGCCUGAGAAACGGCUACCACAUCCAAGGAAGGCAGCAGGCGCGCAAAUUACCCAAUCCCGACACGGGGAGGUAGUGACAAUAAAUACUGAUAUAGGGCUCUUUUGGGUCUUGUAAUUGGAAUGAGUACAAUUUAAACCCCUUAACGAGGAACAAUUGGAGGGCAAGUCUGGUGCCAGCAGCCGCGGUAAUUCCAGCUCCAAUAGCGUAUAUUAAAGUUGUUGCAGUUAAAAAGCUCGUAGUUGAAACUUGGGUCUGGCUAGCGGGUCCGCCUCACCGCGUGCACUUGUCCGGCUGGACCUUUCCUUCUGGAGAACCUCAUGCCCUUCACUGGGUGUGUUGGGGAACCAGGACUUUUACUUUGAAAAAAUUAGAGUGUUCAAAGCAGGCCUUUGCUCGAAUACGUUAGCAUGGAAUAAUAGAAUAGGACGUGCGGUCCUAUUUUGUUGGUUUCUAGGAUCGCCGUAAUGAUUAAUAGGGAUAGUCGGGGGCAUCAGUAUUCAAUUGUCAGAGGUGAAAUUCUUGGAUUUAUUGAAGACUAACUACUGCGAAAGCAUUUGCCAAGGAUGUUUUCAUUAAUCAGUGAACGAAAGUUAGGGGAUCGAAGACGAUCAGAUACCGUCGUAGUCUUAACCGUAAACUAUGCCGACUAGGGAUCGGGCGAUGUUUCUAUCUUGACUCGCUCGGCACCUUACGAGAAAUCAAAGUUUUGGGUCUGGGG
RNAcentral lists this ribosomal RNA (965 nucleotides) under Aposphaeria corallinolutea. RNAcentral's name for it is "SSU rRNA". It matches the Rfam family "Eukaryotic small subunit ribosomal RNA", at positions 144 to 1119 of the family's 1831-position model. The record is from RNAcentral. Lineage: Eukaryota; Fungi; Ascomycota; Dothideomycetes; Pleosporales; Lophiostomataceae.